UGGUCAAGUUAUUAAGGGUGCAGGGCGGAUGCCUUGGCACUAGGAGCCGAUGAAGGACGUGAUAAGCUGCGAUAAGCUUCGGGGAGUUGCACGUAAACUUUGAUCCGAAGAUUUCCGAAUGAGGAAACUCACUUAGAGUAAUGUCUAAGUAUCAUUAAGUGAAUACAUAGCUUAAUGAGGGGAACUCAGGGAACUGAAACAUCUAAGUACCUGAAGGAAGAGAAAGAAAUUCGAUUCCGUAAGUAGCGGCGAGCGAACGCGGAUUAGCCCAAACCAAUAAAGUUUUCUUUAUUGGGGUUGCGGACAUAUCAUAA
RNAcentral lists this ribosomal RNA (314 nucleotides) under Clostridioides difficile. Its description in RNAcentral is "partial 23S ribosomal RNA". It matches the Rfam family "Bacterial large subunit ribosomal RNA", at positions 1 to 314 of the family's 2925-position model. The record is from RNAcentral. Lineage: Bacteria; Bacillati; Bacillota; Clostridia; Peptostreptococcales; Peptostreptococcaceae.